This 483-nucleotide ribosomal RNA is filed under the name uncultured bacterium. RNAcentral's name for it is "partial 16S ribosomal RNA". It matches the Rfam family "Bacterial small subunit ribosomal RNA", at positions 28 to 507 of the family's 1533-position model. The record is from RNAcentral.
GACGAACGCUGGCGGCGUGCUUAACACAUGCAAGUCGAACGAUGAAGCGGGUGCUUGCACUCGUGGAUUAGUGGCGAACGGGCGAGUAACACGUGAGUAACCUGUCCUUUUCUUUGGGAUAACGGCUGGAAACGGCUGCUAAUACUGGAUAUUCAGGCUGCAUCGCAUGGUGUGGUUUGGAAAGGUUUUUUCUGGGAUUGGGUGGGCUCGCGGCCUAUCAGCUUGUUGGUGGGGUGAUGGCUUACCAAGGCUUUGACGGGUAGCCGGCCUGAGAGGGUGGUCGGUCGCACUGGGACUGAGAUACGGCCCAGACUCCUACGGGAGGCAGCAGUGGGGAAUAUUGCACAAUGGACGAAAGUUUGAUGCAGCGACGCCGCGUGGAGGGUGUAGGCCUUCGGGUUGUGAACUCCUUUUUCUCGCGAAAAAGGCACAGUUUUGGCUGUGUUGAUGGUAGUGGGGGAAGAAGCGCCGGCUAACUACGUG